This 292-nucleotide ribosomal RNA is filed under the name uncultured microorganism. RNAcentral's name for it is "partial 16S ribosomal RNA". It matches the Rfam family "Bacterial small subunit ribosomal RNA", at positions 505 to 796 of the family's 1533-position model. The record is from RNAcentral.
GUGCCAGCAGCCGCGGUAAUACGUAGGGCGCGAGCGUUGUCCGGAAUUAUUGGGCGUAAAGGGCUUGUAGGCGGUUGGUCGCGUCUGCCGUGAAAUCCUCUGGCUUAACUGGGGGCGUGCGGUGGGUACGGGCUGGCUUGAGUGCGGUAGGGGAGACUGGAAUUCCUGGUGUAGCGGUGGAAUGCGCAGAUAUCAGGAGGAACACCGGUGGCGAAGGCGGGUCUCUGGGCCGUUACUGACGCUGAGGAGCGAAAGCGUGGGGAGCGAACAGGAUUAGAUACCCUGGUAGUCC